GGCACUGUGGCUCAGUGGGUCAGAGCACCUGUCUCAUAAACAGGAGCUCCUGGGUUCAAAUCCCAGCAGUGCCU
Non-coding RNA from Archocentrus centrarchus (flier cichlid), 74 nucleotides. NCBI's taxonomy places the organism in Eukaryota, Metazoa, Chordata, Actinopteri, Cichliformes, Cichlidae. The record is from the annotation of a RefSeq genome assembly.